Molecule: ribosomal RNA, 460 nt
Filed under: uncultured bacterium
Lineage: Bacteria
Description: partial 16S ribosomal RNA
Rfam family: Bacterial small subunit ribosomal RNA
Source: RNAcentral
CCUACGGGAGGCAGCAGUGAGGAAUAUUGGUCAAUGGGCGCUAGCCUGAACCAGCCAAGUAGCGUGAAGGAUGACUGCCCUAUGGGUUGUAAACUUCUUUUAUAUGGGAAUAAAGUGCAGUAUGUAUACUGCUUUGCAUGUACCUUAUGAAUACGGAUCGGCUAACUCCGUGCCAGCAGCCGCGGUAAUACGGAGGGUCCGAGCGUUAUCCGGAUUUAUUGGGUUUAAAGGGAGCGUAGGCGGGUUGGUAAGUCAGUUGUGAAAGUUUGCGGCUCAACCGUAAAAUUGCAGUUGAUACUGGCAGCCUUGAGUACAGUAGAGGUAGGCGGAAUUCGUGGUGUAGCGGUGAAAUGCUUAGAUAUAACGAAGAACUCCGAUUGCGAAGGCAGCCUGCUGGACUGUAACUGACGCUGAUGCUCGAAAGUGUGGGUAUCAAACAGGAUUAGAUACCCUUGUAGUC